ACUGAGGAACGAAAGCAUGGGUAGCGAAGAGGAUUAGAUACCCUCGUAGUCCAUGCCGUAAACGAUGUGUGUUAGACGUUGGAAAUUUAUUUUCAGUGUCGCAGCGAAAGCGAUAAACACACCGCCUGGGGAGUACGACCGCAAGGUUAAAACUCAAAUGAAUUGACGGGGACCCGCACAAGUAGUGGAGCAUGUGGUUUAAUUCGAAGAUACGCGCAGAACCUUACCAACACUUGACAUGUUCGUCGCGACUUUAAGAGAUUAAAGUUUUCGGUUCGGCCGGACGAAACACAGGUGCUGCAUGGCUGUCGUCAGCUCGUGUCGUGAGAUGUUGGGUUAAGUCCCGCAACGAGCGCAACCCUCACUUUUAGUUGCCAUCAUUAAGUUGGGCACUCUGAAAGAACUGCCAGUGAUAAGCUGGAGGAAGGUGGGGAUGACGUCAAGUCCUCAUGGCCCUUACGUGUUGGGCUACACACGUGCUACAAUGGUAUCUACAACAGGAAGCAAGACUGCGAAGUUAAGCAAAUCCUUAAAAGAUACCUCAGUUCGGAUUGCACUCUGCAACUCGAGUGCAUGAAGCUGGAAUUACUAGUAAUCGUGGAUCAGCGUGCCACGGUGAAUGCGUUCCCGGGCCUUGUACACACCGCCC
RNAcentral lists this ribosomal RNA (649 nucleotides) under uncultured bacterium. Its description in RNAcentral is "bacterial SSU rRNA". It matches the Rfam family "Bacterial small subunit ribosomal RNA", at positions 745 to 1395 of the family's 1533-position model. The record is from RNAcentral.